This 492-nucleotide ribosomal RNA is filed under the name uncultured bacterium. RNAcentral's name for it is "partial 16S ribosomal RNA". It matches the Rfam family "Bacterial small subunit ribosomal RNA", at positions 29 to 507 of the family's 1533-position model. The record is from RNAcentral.
AGUGAACGCUGGCGGCAGGCCUAACACAUGCAAGUCGAACGGCAGCACAGUAAGAGCUUGCUCUUACGGGUGGCGAGUGGCGGACGGGUGAGGAAUACAUCGGAAUCUACUUUUUCGUGGGGGAUAACGUAGGGAAACUUACGCUAAUACCGCAUACGACCUACGGGUGAAAGCAGGGGAUCUUCGGACCUUGCGCGAUUGAAUGAGCCGAUGCCGGAUUAGCUAGUUGGCGGGGUAAAGGCCCACCAAGGCGACGAUGCGUAGCUGGUCUGAGAGGAUGAUCAGCCACACUGGAACUGAGACACGGUCCAGACUCCUACGGGAGGCAGCAGUGGGGAAUAUUGGACAAUGGGCGCAAGCCUGAUCCAGCCAUACCGCGUGGGUGAAGAAGGCGUUCGGGUUGUAAAGCCCUUUUGUUGGGAAAGAAAAGCAGCAGGUUAAUACCCCGCUGUUCUGACGGUACCCAAAGAAUAAGCACCGGCUAACUUCGUG